AUGGCGGCGCUCUCAGACGAUGGUAACCUUGUCAUAAGAGACGACUCGAACCCAUCCAUCGUGUGGUGGCAGAGCUUUGAUCACCCAACAAAUGUUUUCCUGCCCGGUGCAAGGAUUGGCCGGAACAAGGUUGCUGGCCAAAAAUAUAGUCUUGUUUCGAAGAAGAAUCUGAUAGAUCCAGCUCCAGGCCUAUACUGCAUGGAGCUAGACCCCACUGGUGAUCCGCAAUACUUUGUUAAGCUCUGUAAUUCAUCCAUGGUGUAUUUCUCCAUGGGGGAAUGGACCGGGUGCGGGUGGUACUUCAAUUUGGUACCGGAGAUGUCAGGCAGUCACUUUCUCCACACCAAAUUCAUCGACAAUGAUGAAGAGGAGUACUUCACUUAUGCCCCGAUGGAUCCAACAAUGAUAACAAUCUGCUUCCUUGAUGUCUCCGGUCUUACCAAGCAACUUCUUUGGCUUGAAAUCUUGCAAGAUUGGGAAACCAUACAUGUCCAACCAAGGGCUCCAUGUGAUGUUUUCGCCGUUUGUGGGCCUUCCACGGUCUGCAAUGACAACGCACUUACAUUGUGUAACUGCAUGAAUGGGUUCUCUGUGAAGUCACCAGAGGAUUGGGUGCUAGAUGAUAGAGGAGGUGGAUGCAUGAGAAAUACUCCACUAGAACGUUGCAACAGCAACAAAAGUAACACAACAGGAUUAACUGACCAGUUCUUUCCCAUACAUAGUGUUAGAUUACCAUAUUAUGCACAUAGCAUGGAAACAAUUGAGAGUGGACAAGAGUGCAUGCAGGUUUGUCUAAGAAAUUGCUCAUGCACUGCCUACUCCUAUGGCAAGAGUGGCUGUUCUAUCUGGCAUGGCCAACUUAUUAAUGUAAAGCAGUACAAUAAUGGCACAGUCAAUAGUGACAAAGAGAUUCUUUUCCUUCGUCUUGCUGCUGGAGAUGUGCAAAGUUGGGGAAACAACACGAAAGGAAAUAGAAGAAUGAUCAUAGGUCUCACUGUGUGUGCUUUCGGUUUGUUGGUGAUGCUAUUGAUGAUUUGGAGGGGGGAAAGGAAGUGGUGUUCUCAUCCCUUAAGCAACACUGAAGGUGGAUGUGGAGUUAUAGCAUUUAAGUAUGUUGAUUUGCAGCAGACAACUAAAAAUUUCUCAGAGAAGCUUGGUGUAGGUGGUUUUGGCUCUGUAUUUAAGGGAAUUCUGCGUGACUCGACUACCAUAGCGGUGAAGAUGCUUGAUGGUGCACGCCAAGGAGAAAAACAGUUCAGGGCUGAGGUUAGCACAAUUGGAAUGAUCCAACAUGUCAACUUAGUAAAACUGAUUGGUUUUUGCUGUGAAGGUGAUAGAAGGAUGCUUGUUUAUGAACACAUGGCAAAUCGUUCUCUUGAUGUCCAUAUAUUCCAAGCCAAUGGUUCUAUGCUAGAUUGGAGUACAAGAUUUGGGAUGGCAAAACUUAUGGGAAGGAACUUUAGUCGAGUUCUGACUACCAUGAGAGGAACCAUAGGAUACCUUGCGCCUGAAUGGAUUAGUGGAGUGGCUAUUACACAAAAGGUUGAUGUUUACAGCUAUGGAAUGGUACUGCUAGAAAUCAUGUCUGGAAGGAGGAACUCAUCACCUCAAGAAUGUACAGGAAAUAUUGAUCAUGAUGUUCAUUUUCCUGUGCAAGCUGCAGUUAAGCUUCUUGAGGGAGAUGUGAGGACUUUGGUCGAUCAACAAUUAUAUGGUGACAUCAACGUGGAGGAGGUUGAAAGAGCUUGCAAAGCUGCAUGUUGGUGCAUUCAAGAUCAUGACUUUGAUCGUCCUACAAUGGGCGAUGUGGUUCAAGUUCUCGAGGGUCUAGUCAAGCUUGAUAUGCCCCCAGUGCCAAGAUUGCUUCAAGCUAUAUCAGGAAGCUCUUCAACAAAUUAA
Molecule: ribosomal RNA, 1899 nt
Filed under: Triticum aestivum (bread wheat)
Lineage: Eukaryota; Viridiplantae; Streptophyta; Magnoliopsida; Poales; Poaceae
Description: partial small subunit ribosomal RNA
Source: RNAcentral